CCUACGGGAGGCAGCAGUGAGGAAUAUUGGUCAAUGGACGCGAGUCUGAACCAGCCAAGUAGCGUGAAGGAUGACUGCCCUACGGGUUGUAAACUUCUUUUAUAUAGGAAUAAACUGAGGCACGUGUGCCUUUUUGUAUGUACUUUAUGAAUAAGGAUCGGCUAACUCCGUGCCAGCAGCCGCGGUAAUACGGAGGAUCCGAGCGUUAUCCGGAUUUAUUGGGUUUAAAGGGAGCGUAGGUGGGUGGUUAAGUCAGUUGUGAAAGUUUGCGGCUCAACCGUAAAAUUGCAGUUGAAACUGGCAGUCUUGAGUACAGUAGAGGUAGGCGGAAUUCGUGGUGUAGCGGUGAAAUGCUUAGAUAUCACGAAGAACUCCGAUUGCGAAGGCAGCUUACUGGACUGCAACUGACACUGAGGCUCGAAAGUGUGGGUAUCAAACAGGAUUAGAUACCCUUGUAGUC
RNAcentral lists this ribosomal RNA (460 nucleotides) under uncultured bacterium. RNAcentral describes it as "partial 16S ribosomal RNA". It matches the Rfam family "Bacterial small subunit ribosomal RNA", at positions 338 to 795 of the family's 1533-position model. The record is from RNAcentral.